RNAcentral lists this ribosomal RNA (402 nucleotides) under uncultured bacterium. Its description in RNAcentral is "bacterial SSU rRNA". It matches the Rfam family "Bacterial small subunit ribosomal RNA", at positions 356 to 775 of the family's 1533-position model. The record is from RNAcentral.
GGGGAAUAUUGGACAAUGGGCGCAAGCCUGGUCCAGCCAUGCCGCGUGAGUGAUGAAGGCCUUAGGGUUGUAAAGCUCUUUCGGUGGGGAAGAUAAUGACGGUACCCACAGAAGAAGCCCCGGCUAACUUCGUGCCAGCAGCCGCGGUAAUACGAAGGGGGCUAGCGUUGUUCGGAUUUACUGGGCGUAAAGCGCACGUAGGCGGAUCGUUAAGUGAGGGGUGAAAUCCCAGGGCUCAACCCUGGAACUGCCUUUCAUACUGGCGAUCUCGAGUCCGGAAGAGGUGAGUGGAACUCCUAGUGUAGAGGUGGAAUUCGUAGAUAUUAGGAAGAACACCAGUGGCGAAGGCGGCUCACUGGUCCGGUACUGACGCUGAGGUGCGAAAGCGUGGGGAGCAAACAG